UCUGGAAGGAAAUCUUCCUAUGCUACUUCUUCAAGCAGCCAAUGCGUACUCUCUAAGCACCCCAGCUAUGAGCUUCAGCAUCCCCAGAGGCAGCAGCAGUCUUGCAGAGAAUUGGUGGCAGCCUCAAGGCCCUGCCCUGCCCCCAGCCUGGAGGACUCCUGGAGCUGCAAAAUAGCCCUACUGAGGGCCUGCAGGGCAACCUUCCUGAGACUGGAGCCUCCAUCCACUGUGGUGAUAUCCCAAAGGAUACGAGGCCUCACAGCGCUGCACGCUUAUGAGGAUACAACCUUAAUACCACCAAGCAGCAAGUCACUGGGAGGGCUGCAUGUCGGUGUGAAUGCUUGUGUGGUGUAUUGCAAAUACACAAGAUAUGGCAUAUCACCAGCAAAAAUGAGUUAACUUGGAAAUUCCACCUAGGUUGGGCUUUUCUUGGUUCUAUUAAAACAUUUACAUGUUUUUAAAUACAAUCACAAAAUAACACACUAGUAGUUUUACUGACAAAUAAAUACCUUGUAAAUACAAGGGUUUCUU
Molecule: long non-coding RNA, 531 nt
Filed under: Gallus gallus (chicken)
Lineage: Eukaryota; Metazoa; Chordata; Aves; Galliformes; Phasianidae
Description: long non-coding RNA NONGGAT003819
Source: RNAcentral